CAGGUAGGUAGUUUAAACAAAAAUACCGAUUUUGGAAAUCGAUGAUUGGGUACCAACCCCACCACCUGA
Molecule: transfer RNA, 69 nt
Filed under: Lepetodrilus schrolli
Lineage: Eukaryota; Metazoa; Mollusca; Gastropoda; Lepetellida; Lepetodrilidae
Description: tRNA-Pro
Source: RNAcentral